GCCUACGACCAUACCAUGCUGAAUACGCCCGAUCUCGGAAGCCAAGCAGGUUUGGGCCCCGUUAGUACCUGGAUGGGAGACCGCCUGGGAACACCGGGUGUUGUAGGCU
This 109-nucleotide ribosomal RNA is filed under the name Eptatretus burgeri (inshore hagfish). The record is from RNAcentral. Lineage: Eukaryota; Metazoa; Chordata; Myxini; Myxiniformes; Myxinidae.